UUGCAAAAUGGCGAGGGGGGAGCAUACCUUUAUGACUUUCAAAGUUAAGACAAACAUUGAAACGGUUUCCAUUUUGAAAUUUGCUGACCUGAACAGAAGUGGAGUAAAUGGGUGACACCAAGCUCGAUCAGAAACUAUGCCACUGGUGAAGAGGUAUAUUGAGCCCUGCGUGGCCCAGUGAGGUUACUAGAGAAUUGGAAGAGUCUCAAAUCAGCAUCCUGCACAUGGUUAUCAAACCAUUGUGAAGUCUUAGUAAGUGGUCAGUGGCUCUGGUGGGCUUGCCCAGUUAGUGUCUUAACAGGCACUAGGCAGUUACUUGAUAUUUUCCCAUUAUGAUAUGAAAAGUUUUUUGUUUUUUGUUUUUUUAGGGCUGUACCCGUGGCAUAUGGAGGUUCCCAGGCUAGGGUUCAAAUUGGAGCUGUAGCUAUAUGCAGGCCUACACCACCCACAGCUAUAGCAACUUGGGAUCCGAGCUGCGUCUGCAACCUACGCCACAGCUCACGAGAGUGCUGGAUCCUUAACCCACUGAGUGAGGCCAGGGAUUGAACCUGUGUCCUCAUGGAUACUAGUUGUGUUCUUAACCCACUGAGCCACAAUGGGAACUCCAAAAAACAGUCUUUAUUUCAGACUAGAGAGUGAUGAGCCUAAUCUCUCUCUUUCCCCGUCUCCCAUUUUUGCAGAUGAUAUCUUGCCCACCAUAAUAGUUGGUGUAGAAAAUGGAUUUGAAUCCAAGCCCAAUAUUGUUUCUUCCACCUAGUGCUUCCUCUAGAUUCCACCUAAGUCCAAGGAGGCGAUGUGAGACAGAAACAUUUUUAUUCCACAUGGAAAGAUUAUAAUAGCCUCUGACAUUGUGCUCCUCUGAUGAAGGAAAUGUCCAUGGUAUAAAUUUUUAUUGUGCAUAAAAUCACCUGGGAAGCUUGUUAAAAAUGCAGAUUCCUAGGCAGCUAGAAGCCUUGUCAUUGGUCCAGAGCAACAUGAAGACCUACUUGUCACUUACACUGAGGCUUCCUGCCCAGUGGGUUCACCAGCAAGCCAGAAGGAAGCAUCACUGCCAUGGAUGUCCUUGUGAGGCAGUUGUGAAGCCUUGGUAAGUUGUUGGUUUUAGUGGGAUUCCCAGUUCAUGGUAGAGAAGAAGUGGUUGUGAUAUGGCACUCCCACUACCCCCCCACCCCUGCUUCCUUCAAAAAAAAGUAUUAGGUGCUUACCAAGUGCCAAAGACUUCUAGAUAUUAACAAAGUUCUGCCAUCGUGAGACUUUUCACUCCUGUGAGUAGACAAAGGAAAUAAACAGUGAAUGCAUAGUGUAUCCUAAGUGUUAUAUCAGAAGUUUUUAUCCCUCUUUCCCAUUCUCCCUUUUAAUACCUUCCACUGUCUCGGUGCAAUGGAGGCUAACCCAGCUGAGUAUGGGAGGAUCAUAGAUGAUGAAAGCAAUCUUCUUUUUGUAACCUUUCACUAGGCUGAAUUUGAAGGAUAUCUUUGAAAAGUGUUGGAGAGUCUACCAUUUUUUUUUUUUUUUUUUUUUUUUUUUUGUCUUUUUGCCAUUUCUUGGGCCGCUCCCGCGGCAUAUGGAAGUUCCCAGGCUAGGGGUCUAAUCAGAGGUGAAGCCGCUGGGCCACAGCAACGCUGGAUCCGAGCCGCCUCUGCGACCUACACCACAGCUCACGGCAACGCCGGAUCGUUAACCCACUGAGCAAGGGCAGGGAUCGAACCCGCAACCUCAUGGUUCCUAGUCGGAUUCGUUAACCACUGCACCACGACCGGAACUCCUGAGAGUCUACCAGAUUUUCCACGUGAGUGCACAUGCAACAGCAGAAGAGGUCCUCUCAAUGAUUAAGGUAGCACAGUGAUUAAGGUAAGUAGAGGAGAAAAGGUUGACAUUGCCUUGACUGCUGUUAGGGAAGCUCCUAGAAAUGUCAUUUCCAGGGGCCAGUACAUUUUUUUUUUUUUAAUAGGGCUGCAUGUGUGGCAUAUAGAGGUUCCCAGGCUAGGGGUCGAAUUGGAGCUACAGCUGCCAGCCUACACCACAGCCACAGCACCUUGUGAUCCGAGCUGCCUCUGUGACCUAUACCACAGCUCAGGGCAAUGCUGGAUCCUUAACCCACUGAGCGAGGCCAGAGAUCAAACCUGCAUCCUCAUGUAUACUAGUCGAUUUCGUUUCUCCUGUGCCACAAUGGGAACUCCCCCUAGGGGCCAGUACUUUUAAAGCCUGCAUUUUAUUCUACAGUACAUCCUUCUCAAAACAAUUGGGAUAGAUGAUGUGCCUGCUUACCCAUCUGAGCUCACCCCUAUAGAGGAUCAGAAGAACUGAACUGGUUCCCAAGUAGACUACAUGGCAUAAGCUGCAUGUCAUAAAUAAUGUCAAUGUGACACUAAUUAUAAUCCCUUUAGGGGAGAGUCUAGUCUUUCAAACCAAACUUGUUUAGAGUUUUUCUUAAUCAGACUGUAGAGCUGCAUACAUCUUAUCUAAAGCUAGCUACGAGCAGAGGUACAUUGUUUCAGCAGCAGCCAAGUAUAUGGCACUUUGAAUUAGUGAUUUCAGAGGCAGCAGGGUCUUCUGAUGCACAACUCUCAAACCAACUGGACUAGAAUUCAUUUUUGACUCCUCAGUGAUCAGUCCCCUAAUAGGCUUCAAGGAGUACUGAAAUGGUUCAUAGUUAAACUAGGCAGCAUCUGUAAAAUGGUCAUUCUUGAGCAAUCUCUGCAGAAUCCAUCCCUAUCUUAAGCUAGUAGCUCCUUCACCCAGAGUUAAUACCCAAGGGCCAGAUCUUUCUUUGGGAUCUGCCAUUUUUCAUGGAAUCGAUAAAACUCACCUUUUCUCAUAAGGAUGGUCUUGAGAUGGUACCUUCAUAAUACAAUGUUCUUGGUAUAGUGUCUGGAGUGUUUGGAUAAUCUCUACUGGCAAAAUUAGGUAGAUUAGGCUGCACGGGAACCUGAAUGACAAAAAAGUGGCCUUUUCCCUGUGGGAAGUCUGGAAUAGUCAUUGAUACAAAGAGAAUCUAUUCUGUGUGCUUCACAGAAAAAGACACAGGAAAAAUUUUUAACUGCAUGCUAACAUUCAUAUCCCUAUGUGUGAACAGUGUCAUUUUAAAAAGGACACAGAAUAGAUUAGGAGGAAUUAAUCCUUCUCUUGAUAAUCUCAAAAUGUGAUCUGGACAAAGUAACAGGGAUCUCAGUCAAGUAAGUGUUGAACGUGGAGGUAAAUGUUUUUUUUUUUUUACCUUUUUGUUGUAUUUGUUAUAUUUAAUUGUUUUUUAUAAUGAACCUACCUUGUAUUCCCAGAAGAAAAUUCCCUACUUGUCAAGAAUAUUGAAUAAGAUCUAGUAAAUUUGCUGUUUUAAUAUUUUAUUUUCUGUUUUAUUUGAUUUUGUACUACUUUGUUUCUAUGUUCAAAAGUGAGUUUUUGGUUGGAGUGGCAGUCUUUGUUGACAUUAGGGUCAUUAUGAAACCUUAUUGCCUGAGCUUUUACAUUUAGCAGAUCUCAAACAUGUCUCAUACCAUCUUAAACAUCUGUUUUUAUUUGACAUUAUAAUGUAAAAAAAAAUUUACUGAUAUUUGUAUCUAAUAUGUAUCAAUAAUUUGUUCAGUUAUUGCCCUUUUAAGUUUGUGUAACUAAUAUUUAAUGUGAACAUUCCUAUAAAUAAGUUUUUGCAGCAUAUCCACUUUUGCUUCCUAAGGUUAGGUUAAGUGUACAAUCCCUCUAGUGUAUGAGAAUGCCUUCUUUUUCACGUCCUCACUAACGAUAUUGUGGUUUAAAAAAAAUCUGCCAAUUGCAAAGGUGAAAAGUGGUCUCCCUUGAUGUUUUAGUUUUUAUUUACUUGAUUCCUAAUGAGAUGGAACAGUUAAAAAUCUUUCUUGGGUCUUAUUUUUGAGUUUCUUUUUUACACUGAUUUUUAAUCUACCAUAUAUGUUGCAGUCCCUCAAUUUGACAUAGAAGUGGUUAAUUUUUAUGUAGUUCACAUAUCUUUCUUUGUGGUUUAUUCUCCCCUUACGUCUCACAGUAAAGAUAAAUGUUUUUGUAUAGUUCAUGCUUUGAUUAUUUACUUUUAAAUACAAAUCUUUUGCUAUUGGGGAUAUUCUCUUUGGUGUGUGGUAUAUAACUAAUUUUUUAAAUGUCCAGCACAUUCAGAGUUCAUGGGGGUGAUAGUAAGGGUACUAGUGGGGAUCUCAGCAGGAGUUUCAGAAUCUUUUUGUCCAGUGCUCUGCUAUUAUAACAUGUCAUAUUUAAAUAAUUCUCUCUGCCCCUUUUUCUCUGUAUGACUUCUCAGUUUUGCUACCACUGACCUAUGCUGCCCUCUGUGACAGGUUGGCAAACUUUUUCUGUAAAGGGCCUGAUAGUAAAUAUUUUAGGCUUUCUGGACCAUGUGUUUUUUACCUCUGUAAUAUGAAAGCAGCCACAGACAAUACAUAAGCAGACAAACAUGACCGUAUUCCAACAAAACUACGUUUAUUAAAAAAAAAAAAAAAAAAAAAAAAAAGGAGUUCCCGUCGUGGCUCAGUGAAUCUGACUAGGAACCAUGAGGUUGUGUGUUCGAUCCCUGGCCUUGCUCAGUGGCCAAGGAUCCGGUGUUGCCGUGAUCUGUGGUGUAGGUCACAGACUCAGCUUGGGUCCCGCGUUGCUGUGGCUGUGGUGUAGGCCAGCGGCUACAGCUCUGAUUCGACCCCUAGCCUGGGAACCUCUAUAUGCCGUGGGAACGGCCCUAGAAAAGGCAAACAGACAAAAAAAAAAAAAAAAAAAAAAAAAAAA
This 4743-nucleotide long non-coding RNA is filed under the name Sus scrofa (pig). Its description in RNAcentral is "lncRNA (ENSSSCG00060021910.1)". Lineage: Eukaryota; Metazoa; Chordata; Mammalia; Artiodactyla; Suidae. The record is from RNAcentral.